GGUUCGAUUCCGGAGAGGGAGCCUGAGAAACGGCUACCACAUCCAAGGAAGGCAGCAGGCGCGCAAAUUACCCAAUCCCAAUACGGGGAGGUAGUGACAAUAAAUAACAAUAUGGGGCUCUUACGGGUCUCGUAAUUGGAAUGAGUACAAUUUAAAUCUCUUAACGAGGAACAAUUGGAGGGCAAGUCUGGUGCCAGCAGCCGCGGUAAUUCCAGCUCCAAUAGCGUAUAUUAAAGUUGUUGCAGUUAAAAAGCUCGUAGUUGAAUUUCGGAGUUUGUCGGUUGGUCGGGCUUCACUGUCCGCACUGGCCUGAUGGAUUCCUACCUUCUGAAUAACCAGCAUGCUAUUAAGUUAGUGCGUUGGGGAAGCAGAGCUAUUACCUUGAAAAAAUUAGAGUGCUUAAAGCAGGCUUUUGCUUGAAUAGAUUAGCAUGGAAUAAUAAAAUAGGACGGCAUGGUUCUAUUUUGUUGGUUUCUAGGAUCACCGUAAUGAUUAAUAGGGAUAGUUGGGGGCAUUAGUAUUCAAUUGUCAGAGGUGAAAUUCUUGGAUUUAUUGAAGACUAACUUCUGCGAAAGCAUUUGCCAAGGAUGUUUUCAUUAAUCAAGAA
This 607-nucleotide ribosomal RNA is filed under the name uncultured Glomeromycotina. Its description in RNAcentral is "SSU rRNA". It matches the Rfam family "Eukaryotic small subunit ribosomal RNA", at positions 374 to 983 of the family's 1831-position model. The record is from RNAcentral. Lineage: Eukaryota; Fungi; Glomeromycota.